RNAcentral lists this ribosomal RNA (503 nucleotides) under uncultured bacterium. RNAcentral describes it as "partial 16S ribosomal RNA". It matches the Rfam family "Bacterial small subunit ribosomal RNA", at positions 30 to 523 of the family's 1533-position model. The record is from RNAcentral.
AUUGAACGCUGGCGGCAGGCCUAACACAUGCAAGUCGAACGGUAGCACAGAGAGCUUGCUCUCGGGUGACGAGUGGCGGACGGGUGAGUAAUGUCUGGGAAACUGCCCGAUGGAGGGGGAUAACUACUGGAAACGGUAGCUAAUACCGCAUAACGUCGCAAGACCAAAGUGGGGGACCUUCGGGCCUCACACCAUCGGAUGUGCCCAGAUGGGAUUAGCUAGUAGGUGGGGUAAUGGCUCACCUAGGCGACGAUCCCUAGCUGGUCUGAGAGGAUGACCAGCCACACUGGAAAUGAGACACGGUCCAGACUCCUACGGGAGGCAGCAGUGGGGAAUAUUGCACAAUGGGCGCAAGCCUGAUGCAGCCAUGCCGCGUGUAUGAAGAAGGCCUUCGGGUUGUAAAGUACUUUCAGCGGGGAGGAAGGCGGUGAAGUUAAUAGCUUCACCGAUUGACGUUACCCGCAGAAGAAGCACCGGCUAACUCCGUGCAGCAGCCGCGGUAA